This 145-nucleotide ribosomal RNA is filed under the name uncultured Gammaproteobacteria bacterium. Its description in RNAcentral is "partial 16S ribosomal RNA". Lineage: Bacteria; Pseudomonadati; Pseudomonadota; Gammaproteobacteria. The record is from RNAcentral.
GAUGCAGCCAUGCCGCGUGUGUGAGAAGGCCUUAGGGUUGUAAAGCUCUUUUUUCGGGGAGGAAAUCUCACGGUGUGUGCGGGUUAGCCGGGACUUUACCCCUAGAGAACGGCCGGCCCAUACCGGGCCCCCCGCCGCUAUAAUA